GAUGAACGCUGGCGGCGUGCCUAAUACAUGCAAGUCGAGCGAACCACUUCGGUGGUGAGCGGCGAACGGGUGAGUAACACGUAGGUUAUCUGCCCAUCAGACGGGGACAACGAUUGGAAACGAUCGCUAAUACCGGAUAGGACGAAAGUUUAAAGGUGCUUCGGCACCACUGAUGGAUGAGCCUGCGGCGCAUUAGCUAGUUGGUAGGGUAAAGGCCUACCAAGGCGACGAUGCGUAGCCGACCUGAGAGGGUGAACGGCCACACUGGGACUGAGACACGGCCCAGACUCCUACGGGAGGCAGCAGUAGGGAAUCUUCGGCAAUGGGCGAAAGCCUGACCGAGCAACGCCGCGUGAAUGAUGAAGGCCUUCGGGUUGUAAAAUUCUGUUAUAAGGGAAGAAUGGCUCUAGUAGGAAAUGGCUAGAGUGUGACGGUACCUUAUGAGAAAGCCACGACUAACUACGUG
This 466-nucleotide ribosomal RNA is filed under the name uncultured bacterium. RNAcentral's name for it is "bacterial SSU rRNA". It matches the Rfam family "Bacterial small subunit ribosomal RNA", at positions 28 to 507 of the family's 1533-position model. The record is from RNAcentral.